Molecule: long non-coding RNA, 422 nt
Filed under: Elaeis guineensis (African oil palm)
Lineage: Eukaryota; Viridiplantae; Streptophyta; Magnoliopsida; Arecales; Arecaceae
Description: long non-coding RNA (EGUI_LNC028767)
Source: RNAcentral
AGGAGAACCUCAUCCUGACAUGAGCAAAGUCAAAGGCCCGGUUCUUUUAGACCGAAUGGGGGGAGAGGCCUUACAACACCCUAAUGUGCCCCCACAGCCAUGUCAGGAACAGGAGGAGAACCUCAUCGUGACAUGAGCAAAGUCGAAGGCCCGGUUCUUUUAGACCGGAUGGGGGGAGAGGCCUUACAGUGCCCUAACGCGCCCCCACAGCCAGGCUGGUAACGAGGGGAGAACCUCACACCGGCUCGAGCAAAAUGGAAGGCCCGGACUCCUACGGAAGCCAGGUUCCGUUCACGACGCAAAGGAAGACUUCACCCGGACUCCUACGGGAGCCAGGUUCUGCCUACAAGGAAGACUUCACCCGGACUCCUACGGGAGCCGGGUUCCACCCGCAAGGAAGACUUCAUCCGGACUCCUACGGG